GAUCCUGGCUCAGGAUGAACGCUAGCUACAGGCUUAACACAUGCAAGUCGAGGGGCAGCGAUGGUCUUAGCUUGCUAAGGCCGAUGGCGACCGGCGCACGGGUGAGUAACACGUAUCCAACCUGCCGUCUACUCUUGGACAGCCUUCUGAAAGGAAGAUUAAUACAAGAUGGCAUCAUGAGUCCGCAUGUUCACAUGAUUAAAGGUAUUCCGGUAGACGAUGGGGAUGCG
This 230-nucleotide ribosomal RNA is filed under the name uncultured bacterium. Its description in RNAcentral is "partial 16S ribosomal RNA". It matches the Rfam family "Bacterial small subunit ribosomal RNA", at positions 15 to 235 of the family's 1533-position model. The record is from RNAcentral.